Podarcis lilfordi (Lilford's wall lizard) is the source of this 70-nucleotide non-coding RNA. The record is from the annotation of a GenBank genome assembly. NCBI's taxonomy places the organism in Eukaryota, Metazoa, Chordata, Lepidosauria, Squamata, Lacertidae.
GCUUCAGCUCAGUCAGCAAAACAUGAGACUCUUAAUCUCAGGGUUGUGGGUUCGAGUCCCAUGUUACGCA